Molecule: ribosomal RNA, 504 nt
Filed under: uncultured bacterium
Lineage: Bacteria
Description: partial 16S ribosomal RNA
Rfam family: Bacterial small subunit ribosomal RNA
Source: RNAcentral
AGCGAACGCUGGCGGCAGGCUUAACACAUGCAAGUCGAACGGCAGCAUGGAGAGCUUGCUCUCUGAUGGCGAGUGGCGAACGGGUGAGUAAAGCAUCGGAACGUACCGUGUAGUGGGGGAUAACGUAGCGAAAGUUACGCUAAUACCGCAUACGCACUGAGGUGGAAAGCAGGGGAUCGUAAGACCUUGCGCUAUACGAGCGGCCGAUGUCAGCUUAGCUAGUUGGUAGGGUAAAGGCCUACCAGGGCGACGAUCUGUAGCGGGUCUGAGAGGAUGAUCCGCCACACUGGGACUGGGACACGGCCCAGACGGCGACGGGAGGCAGCAGUGGGGAAUGUUGGACAAUGGGGGCAACCCUGAUCCAGCCAUGCCGCGUGAGUGAAGAAGGCCUUUGGGUUGUAAAGCUCUUUCGGCCGGGAAGAAAUCGCACAGGCUAAUACCCUGUGUGGAUGACGGUACCGGCAUAAGAAGCACCGGCUAACUACGUGCCUGCCGCCGCAGUAA